This 1354-nucleotide ribosomal RNA is filed under the name uncultured bacterium. RNAcentral's name for it is "bacterial SSU rRNA". It matches the Rfam family "Bacterial small subunit ribosomal RNA", at positions 42 to 1388 of the family's 1533-position model. The record is from RNAcentral.
GCAGGCCUAACACAUGCAAGUCGAGCGGUAGCACAGAGAGCUUGCUCUCGGGUGACGAGCGGCGGACGGGUGAGUAAUGUCUGGGAAACUGCCUGAUGGAGGGGGAUAACUACUGGAAACGGUAGCUAAUACCGCAUAACGUCGCAAGACCAAAGUGGGGGACCUUCGGGCCUCAUGCCAUCAGAUGUGCCCAGAUGGGAUUAGCUAGUAGGUGGGGUAACGGCUCACCUAGGCGACGAUCCCUAGCUGGUCUGAGAGGAUGACCAGCCACACUGGAACUGAGACACGGUCCAGACUCCUACGGGAGGCAGCAGUGGGGAAUAUUGCACAAUGGGCGCAAGCCUGAUGCAGCCAUGCCGCGUGUGUGAAGAAGGCCUUCGGGUUGUAAAGCACUUUCAGCGGGGAGGAAGGCGGUGAGGUUAAUAACCUCAUCGAUUGACGUUACCCGCAGAAGAAGCACCGGCUAACUCCGUGCCAGCAGCCGCGGUAAUACGGAGGGUGCAAGCGUUAAUCGGAAUUACUGGGCGUAAAGCGCACGCAGGCGGUCUGUCAAGUCGGAUGUGAAAUCCCCGGGCUCAACCUGGGAACUGCAUUCGAAACUGGCAGGCUAGAGUCUUGUAGAGGGGGGUAGAAUUCCAGGUGUAGCGGUGAAAUGCGUAGAGAUCUGGAGGAAUACCGGUGGCGAAGGCGGCCCCCUGGACAAAGACUGACGCUCAGGUGCGAAAGCGUGGGGAGCAACCAGGAUUAGAUACCCUGGUAGUCCACGCCGUAAACGAUGUCGAUUUGGAGGUUGUGCCCUUGAGGCGUGGCAUCCGGAGCUAACGCGUUAAAUCGACCGCCUGGGGAGUACGGCCGCAAGGUUAAAACUCAAAUGAAUUGACGGGGGCCCGCACAAGCGGUGGAGCAUGUGGUUUAAUUCGAUGCAACGCGAAGAACCUUACCUGGUCUUGACAUCCACAGAACUUUCCAGAGAUGGAUUGGUGCCUUCGGGAACUGUGAGACAGGUGCUGCAUGGCUGUCGUCAGCUCGUGUUGUGAAAUGUUGGGUUAAGUCCCGCAACGAGCGCAACCCUUAUCCUUUGUUGCCAGCGGUUAGGCCGGGAACUCAAAGGAGACUGCCAGUGAUAAACUGGAGGAAGGUGGGGAUGACGUCAAGUCAUCAUGGCCCUUACGACCAGGGCUACACACGUGCUACAAUGGCAUAUACAAAGAGAAGCGACCUCGCGAGAGCAAGCGGACCUCAUAAAGUAUGUCGUAGUCCGGAUUGGAGUCUGCAACUCGACUCCAUGAAGUCGGAAUCGCUAGUAAUCGUAGAUCAGAAUGCUACGGUGAAUACGUUCCCGGGCCUUGUACAC